This 459-nucleotide ribosomal RNA is filed under the name uncultured bacterium. Its description in RNAcentral is "partial 16S ribosomal RNA". It matches the Rfam family "Bacterial small subunit ribosomal RNA", at positions 338 to 795 of the family's 1533-position model. The record is from RNAcentral.
CCUACGGGAGGCAGCAGUGAGGAAUAUUGGUCAAUGGUCGGGAGACUGAACCAGCCAAGCCGCGUGAGGGAUGAAGGUACAGAGUAUCGUAAACCUCUUUUGUCAGGGAACAAAGGCGGGGACGUGUCCCCGGAUGAGUGUACCUGAAGAAAAAGCAUCGGCUAACUCCGUGCCAGCAGCCGCGGUAAUACGGAGGAUGCGAGCGUUAUCCGGAUUUAUGGGGUUUAAAGGGUGCGCAGGCGGUCUGUUAAGUCAGCGGUCAAAGCCCGGGGCUCACCCCCGGCCCGCCGUUGAAACUGGCAGUCUCGAGUGGGAGAGAAGUAUGCGGAAUGCGCGGUGUAGCGGUGAAAUGCAUAGAUAUCGCGCAGAACUCCGAUUGCGAAGGCAGCAUGCCGGCUCCACACUGACGCUGAGGCACGAAAGCGUGGGUAUCGAACAGGAUUAGAUAUCCGUGUAGUC